This 22-nucleotide non-coding RNA is filed under the name Arabidopsis thaliana (thale cress). The record is from RNAcentral. Lineage: Eukaryota; Viridiplantae; Streptophyta; Magnoliopsida; Brassicales; Brassicaceae.
AGGUGAUUGACAUGCUCAAUAA